This 440-nucleotide ribosomal RNA is filed under the name uncultured bacterium. Its description in RNAcentral is "partial 16S ribosomal RNA". It matches the Rfam family "Bacterial small subunit ribosomal RNA", at positions 338 to 795 of the family's 1533-position model. The record is from RNAcentral.
CCUACGGGUGGCAGCAGUGGGGAAUAUUGCACAAUGGGGGAAACCCUGAUGCAGCGACGCCGCGUGAGUGAAGAAGUAAUUCGUUAUGUAAAGCUCUAUCAGCAGGGAAGAAAAUGACGGUACCUGAGUAAGAAGCCCCGGCUAACUACGUGCCAGCAGCCGCGGUAAUACGUAGGGGGCAAGCGUUAUCCGGAUUUACUGGGUGUAAAGGGAGCGUAGACGGCAGUGCAAGUCUGGAGUGAAAGGCGGGGGCUCAAGCCCCGGACUGCACUGGAAACUGUACGGCUGGAGUGCAGGAGAGGGAAGCGGAAUUCCUAGUGUAGCGGUGAAAUGCUUAGAUAUUAGGAGGAACACCAGUCGCGAAGGCGAGUUACUGGACUGUAACUGACGUUGAGGCUCGAAAGCGUGGGGAGCAAACAGGAUUAGAUACUCGAGUAGUC